RNAcentral lists this ribosomal RNA (264 nucleotides) under uncultured bacterium. Its description in RNAcentral is "partial 16S ribosomal RNA". It matches the Rfam family "Bacterial small subunit ribosomal RNA", at positions 90 to 354 of the family's 1533-position model. The record is from RNAcentral.
UUCGAGUGGCGGACGGGUGAGUAACGCGUGGGUAACCUGCCUUACACAGGGGGAUAACACCUGGAAACAGGUGCUAAUACCGCAUAAGCGCACAGGGCCGCAUGGCCCGGUGUGAAAAACUCCGGUGGUGUAGGAUGGACCCGCGUCUGAUUAGCUUGUUGGCGGGGUAGAGGCCCACCAAGGCGACGAUCAGUAGCCGGCCUGAGAGGGUGGACGGCCACAUUGGGACUGAGACACGGCCCAAACUCCUACGGAAGGCAGCAG